Paramuricea clavata is the source of this 280-nucleotide non-coding RNA. Lineage: Eukaryota; Metazoa; Cnidaria; Anthozoa; Malacalcyonacea; Plexauridae. The record is from the annotation of a GenBank genome assembly.
UACUUAUUGUAUUGUAUCAGGUUGGUCUUUACAUGGGACUCAUGUCCUGUUGACCAUACCUUCAAUCAUUGUUAUAUUUUUUGUAUGAUUGUAAAGUUAAUAAAAAAAAAAAAUAUGCUGCAUGCUAAAAAUAUCCGCUUGAACAUCAAUCACAAACAUAAAUGAAGUUUAUAUGUCAGAAGGUAACUUCAAUGUAAAAAAUACAUUGGCAUGGCCAUGUCAAGUCGCUUCAAGUUAACAGCUUCAAUGUCAGAUAUUGCUUUUAUAAUGUCGGAAACGG